AAAAUACACACAAGACAAAAUAGACAAUAUUUGUUGAAAUUUAUAUAGACAAACUUUGGUCUAAAUUGUUGCUAGGGGUUUGUACAUGAGUUCUGAAUAAAGUCUCUUCUAUGAGACUAGCAGCAUCCGUCUGUAUCUCUGAUCUCCUGCUUUGCUCUCGUCUCUGUCUGUCAGUGGAGAGAUUGUGAUCACUAAGGACCAGCUGGAGGGUCAAAUCUGAGUGCCGUUCCCCCCCACCGAUGUGUGCGUUUGUGAGCUUAGCGACACCUACGCCGUGCUGAGCUGGACUGAACCGGAUCCGCGGGGCAGAGAGCCUCUCACUUACUCCGUGGAGCGGGAGUUCCCACUCCUCCACACGGCGUCCUGCCCAUCCGAGACACCAACAGCUCAGUCCUACUGCAGUGGAAGGAGCCCAAAAAAACAGAGGGCAUUGUGGGAUACUAUCUGUACUGCAGUGAGGUUGGAAGUGGACAGUGGAAGACCAUCAACAAUAAGCCCAUCACUAAAACCAGGUCUCUUCUUGUAUCCUGUUUAAGAGGCAAUUAAAGGCAUAGUUCACCCAAAAAUAAAACUGUACUGUUAAUUAACUCA
Cyprinus carpio (common carp) is the source of this 591-nucleotide long non-coding RNA. The record is from Ensembl. NCBI's taxonomy places the organism in Eukaryota, Metazoa, Chordata, Actinopteri, Cypriniformes, Cyprinidae.